This 443-nucleotide ribosomal RNA is filed under the name uncultured bacterium. RNAcentral's name for it is "partial 16S ribosomal RNA". It matches the Rfam family "Bacterial small subunit ribosomal RNA", at positions 338 to 795 of the family's 1533-position model. The record is from RNAcentral.
CCUACGGGAGGCUGCAGUGGGGAAUAUUGGGCAAUGGGCGCAAGCCUGAUCCAGCAACGCCGCGUGAAGGAAGAAGGCUUUCGGGUUGUAAACCUCUUUUAUGAGGGACGAAAGAAAUGACGGUACUUCAUGAAUAAGCCACGGCUAACUACGUGCUAGCAACCGCGGUAAUACGUAGGUGGUAAGCGUGAUCCGGAUUUAUCGGGUGUAAAGGGCGGGUAGGCGGGACUGUAAGUCGGCUGUGAAAAUUAGGGGCUCAACCCCUAAACUGCAUUUGAAACUGCAGUUCUUGAGUGAUGGAGAGGGAGGCGGAAUUCCGGGUGUAGCAGUGAUAUGCGUAGAUAUACGGAGGAACACCAGUGGCGAAGGCGGCCUGCUGGACAUUAACUGACGCUGAGGCGCGAAGGCGUGGGGAGCAAACAGGAUUAGAUACCCUUGUAGUC